CACUGGGACUGAGACACGGGCCCAGACUCCUACGGGAGGCAGCAGCUAAGAAUCUUCCGCAAUGGUCGAAAGGCUGACGGAGCGACGCCGCGUGGACGAAGAAGGCCGGAAGGUUGUAAAGUCCUUUUUUCCAGAGAAGAAUAACGUGUGGAGGGAAUGCCGCACAGAUGACGUUAUCUGAGGAAUAAGCCCCGGCUAAUUACGUGCCAGCAGCCGCGGUAACACGUAAGGGGCGAGCGUUGUUCGGAAUUAUUGGGCGUAAAGGGCGCGUAAGCGGCUAAGCAAGCCUGGUGUGAAAGGCCACAGCUUAACUGUGGGAGUGCGCUGGGAACUGCUUGGCUAGAGUUCAGGAGGGGAAUCUGGAAUUCCUGGUGUAGGGGUGAAAUCUGUAGAUAUCAGGAAGAACACCUGUGGCGAAGGCGAGAUUCUGGCCAUGAACUGACGCUGAGGCGCGAAAGCGUGGGGAGCGAACAGGAUUAGAUACCCUGGUAGUCCACGCUGUAAACGAUGUGCACUAGGUGUCGGCUGUUGUAACGGUCGGUGCCGAAGCAAACGCGAUAAGUGCACCGCCUGGGGAGUAUGCUCGCAAGGGUGAAACUCAAAGGAAUUGACGGGGGCCCGCACAAGCGGUGGAGCAUGUGGUUUAAUUCGAUGAUACGCGAGGAACCUUACCAGGGCUUGACAUAUGGUGGACUGCUGCAGAGAUGUAGCUUCCCUUCGGGGCUGCCAUACAGGUGCUGCAUGGUUGUCGUCAGCUCGUGCUGUGAGGUGUUGGGUUAAGUCCCGCAACGAGCGCAACCCCUGCUGUCUGUUGCCAGCAUUUCGGAUGGGGACUCAGACGGUACUGCCGGUGACAAACCGGAGGAAGGUGGGGAUGACGUCAAAUCAUCAUGGCCCUUAUGUCCUGGGCUACACACGUGCUACAAUGGCCGGUACAGAGCGUAGCGAAACCGCGAGGUGGAGCAAAUCGCAGAAAGCCGGUCUCAGUACGGAUUGGAGUCUGAAACCCGACUUCAUGAAGUUGGAAUCGCUAGUAAUCGCGCAUCAGCAUGGCGCGGUGAAUACGUUCCCGGGCCUUGUACACACCGCCCGUCACACCACCCGAGUUGGGGGUACCCGAAGUCGCUCGUCUAACCGGU
Molecule: ribosomal RNA, 1139 nt
Filed under: uncultured organism
Description: bacterial SSU rRNA
Rfam family: Bacterial small subunit ribosomal RNA
Source: RNAcentral